GCAGCGACUCAAUAUAAAUAUUCCCUGUUAUUGACAUUCCAUUGCGGCUGUUGUAGUCUGAGACUAGUUCCGUGAGACAAGCAGUCUGACACAUACAGGACAAGAAAAUCUCUUGUCAUCUGGGUACAGCAAGUCUGCCACACCGUAGUCCGACACCUGCACCUGAUUGACACUUUUCAUGAGAAUAUUCCGAGCCGAGAGGUUCCUGUGAACCAUUCGAUGUUCCUCCAGUGGUCUGGUGAGGUGUUGGGAACAAAGAUCUCCAGUUCACAGUGUCAUAAUAGCAGAGAUUCUGAUUCUCUGCAAUAUAUACUUUGCCUGCGCUGAUUUCCUGCAGCGAGCGGAAACCCAAUGACGUCACAUUGUUG
Long non-coding RNA from Xenopus laevis (African clawed frog), 368 nucleotides. RefSeq lists it as uncharacterized. The transcript has 3 exons. Lineage: Eukaryota; Metazoa; Chordata; Amphibia; Anura; Pipidae. The record is from RefSeq and is a predicted model, not a curated record.